This 253-nucleotide ribosomal RNA is filed under the name uncultured bacterium. Its description in RNAcentral is "partial 16S ribosomal RNA". It matches the Rfam family "Bacterial small subunit ribosomal RNA", at positions 524 to 776 of the family's 1533-position model. The record is from RNAcentral.
UAAGGAGGGGGCGAGCGUUAUUCGGAUUCACUGGGCGUAAAGCGCGCGUAGGCGGUUAGGUAAGUCUGAUGUGAAAGCCCUGGGCUUAACCGAGGAAGUGCAUUGGAUACUGCCUGACUAGAGUACAGGAGAGGAAGAUGGAAUUCCCGGUGUAGAGGUGAAAUUCGUAGAUAUCGGGAGGAACACCAGAGGCGAAGGCGAUCAUCUGGACUGUAACUGACGCUGAGGCGCGAAAGUGUGGGUAGCAAACAGG